Long non-coding RNA from Lathyrus oleraceus (garden pea), 865 nucleotides. RefSeq lists it as uncharacterized. NCBI's taxonomy places the organism in Eukaryota, Viridiplantae, Streptophyta, Magnoliopsida, Fabales, Fabaceae. The transcript is spliced from 3 exons. The record is from RefSeq and is a predicted model, not a curated record.
UUCUCCCCUCUUCAUAAUUCAUUCCUUUCAAACAAAAUUAUAUUUGAUAAAUUCAUACCUUGACCACACUUCCUCAUCCUCUUUCCAUUGAAAAGGAUUAUAGUGAUUCUGAACAGUAGAAAUCAAAGCUUCGAGUUUGUUCAUCUUAGCACUCAAAAAGGAUAGACAUCAAUAUUUUCGAUUUCAACAGUUUCGUCUUAACACUCAAAGGAAGGACGAACACCAUCGUUGUCGAUUUCAGGAAAAGGCUAGUGCAAGAAUCACUUCAAAGAAGAAUAGCCAUGGACCAACAACGUGUCGAAGGAGAAGGAGAAGUGGAUAAUGAUAGUAUAAUUUUGACUUUUCGGUGGAAUGCUAUCCGACGUGUCUAUGAAAUGUAUCGUCAUAGGAGAGGUGACAACAACCAACCACCUUUUCUUAAUGAGGAUUGGGACAUGCGCAUUUAUACUCAAAAUGAUCACAUGAUUUUUCGUGAAAAUUCCAACAAUCGGAGGGUAAGAAGAAUUAGGAUUGGCGAAGGAGAAUCAGGCUCUGGAAACAGCAUUACUUGCACCAUAUGUCUUGAAGAAUUUCCUGUUGGGUUAGAAGUGAUUCAAUUGCCUAGACCUUGCUGUCAUAUGUAUCAUCAAGAUUGUAUAAUAAGGUGGCUCCGUAGCUCUAACACAUGCCCAUUGUGUCGUAGGCCUGUUUCUUAAGGUUUUCCCUGUUCAUCUAUAAACUUCUUAUACCUAUUUUAAUUUAUGCCAAAAUGAUUUGGGUGACUAUUAGAAACUUUGUUUAUGUCAAUAUUGUCCAUGUAUGUUUAACUAUUGGAAAUAUUUAUUAGCUUUAUGAAAUAAAUUGUUGCUUUUAUUUUGUAUCUGAA